This is a long non-coding RNA of Cygnus olor (mute swan), 4429 nucleotides long. RefSeq lists it as uncharacterized. The record is from RefSeq and is a predicted model, not a curated record. The transcript has 5 exons. NCBI's taxonomy places the organism in Eukaryota, Metazoa, Chordata, Aves, Anseriformes, Anatidae.
UCUCCAAUUAUUUUUGCUGAGCUGGAAGUACUUUUUUUGGUCUGUGCUGAUGGAUUCCCUCUGCCACUGGCAUGAUUUAUAGUCACUCAUGUCUACAGGAUGCGUCAGUGCUGCCCAUGGGAUGCUGAGGUUGACUGGAAAGAUAAAAGGGAUGCAUGAGCCCCCGAGCACAAGAUGGGAAACGCUGUAUCUCAUGUUGACAAACUAAAUACAGACCAGCAAUGUGGUGCAAUGUGGUACAUGUUAUCCUGGGAUGCGCUGUUGGAUGUGUCCUGUGCAUGUGGCAAACUGCUGUUACUUUGCUUUAGUUGGAAGUGGUGAGGUCUACGUCUGCCGUUGCCUCCAGUUCUGGGCAGUGUGGUAUGAGAAGGAUACAGACGAGUCUGCAAUAUGCUGAAAGGCAGCAGUAAGAAAGAGAAGAGGUCAGAAAAAAUGACCUGUGAGCAGCGUUUUGUCAUGGAAAAGAAAAGCCUGAGCUGCGACAGUAGCCGUGUCAUAGGUGAAGGGACCAUUUCCCUGGUGUCCCCUGGCUGUCUCCACAAGAACAAGACAAAAGGAUGUACAUUUUGCAACAAGGAAAACGUAAGGUGAGUAUUGGCUGUUGGGGGUUGAGAGGCUGCAGCGUGCCACAUAGGCGGUUGCGAAGGUUUGGAGAAUCAGACAAACGGCUUUUGGCACCAUACAGCGUUGGAAGAAGGUCACUAGAGAAGGACGGGCGAAAAGGGACACCCUUCCCCUUACUGACGGGACUGAAGUUGUUGAUGGCUGUCACAGCUGGCUGCUGAUUUCCUUCUGCCCAGAGGCUGGGAACAUCCAGCUCUUCUGACUUAUAUGUGUAAAAUAAUUUGUGGGCUGGAAGAAGGCGUCCAGGGUGCUCGCUGUGGCCCUGCACAGAGGGGGCUUGUGGCUGCUCUCACGAGGUCCUGAUUGCUCCAGGACAGCUGCUUACAGGACUCUGCAGAGCACUGGGCAAAGGUUUGGUGUAGCCAUCAGAAGACUCACUUUGUGAAAGAUGCGACUGAUACUGUUCAGACACAGGAGGCACGGAAAGAAUUAGAAACAGAUUCCUCUGAAAGAAGCAAGACAAUGGGAUAUAUUACAGCAUCAAAAUGUUCUUGGCAGGUGGAGUGUAUAUAUCAAGUACUGAAAAAACUGUUUGUGUUUUUUUCUAGAAGUCAAUGAAAGUCCAGUUCACUCGAAACAAUAGCACUUUGAGAACCAUUCCUAUGCUUUCCAGAAGUGUGUGAAGAGAUGCAUGUAAGAUGGAGGUCUAAAAGCAAGAACUGUUCUACCCAAAAACGUGUUGCAGAGAGAGCUGGAAAGGAAACAAAAGACUUUUUGUUGAGGCUUCAGCUCCUCGGCACACGCUAUCAGCACUCCAUCUGCUCGCUGGGCCCCAGCUCCCGUGUUCUGGUCACCAAGAGUUGUGUUUGUGUCCAUGUACCACACAGCAGACUGAGGCUUCAGCAAGAUUCUGCUGUGGUAGGAGUGGAGCAAACCUGGAGCUGAGGGAAAGGCAGUUUCCAAAAGGUUUCCUGUGUAUAAUGAGUGACAGACACGAUGCGACAGUAUCAGCCAGUAUCAAUAGCAGCAUGGCUGGUGUCGGAGCAUUAGCAGACCAACAAUUUCCGAUGUUAUGACUGAUGCAGUAAAUACACUACCAACAUGUGUGCUCGGGCUGAGAAGCUGAAAGCCUUGGGUUUAAGAGGUGUCUGUCUGUGUGUUCAUAUAAAUACACCCUGUUAAUAGCUGGUGAAUAAUUUUUACUACCUCUUGCCACCAAGGAUUGCAAAUUCUAAUUAGUGAAUGUGUUUAUCCCCAGAAAGCCCCUGGCUCUUGCAGGCUGCCAGCCUCGCACAGCGCUGCUCUGUUGCAACAGCCCUGCCUUUCCUCUCCCAGCCCCUCGCAGUGCCCCACAGAUCGAAGUCACCAACGUUGUAGCCAAGGACAGCUUUAUCAACACGGAGGUGUGCACCCCUGUACAAACAAAGCAGUGUUAGCCCUACAGAUGCUGCUGUCGAGGCAGCGCAGAGCCACGUGCCUGCCUCCUGAAGCCUUCCCACGGCUGAACCGAGCCACUCGCGCUCAGCUGGGUGGAGGAGGGAGCCCCGGGGCCUCCCGGUCCAAGGACGGCUGUGUCCCUUGGGCUGCUCCAGAGGCAGAAGCUGUCACUGUCCUUUCUGUUCUUAAAGGAUGCCAAUUUUUUUUUUUUAAAUGAGGCUUGCUAAUCACUGAUGACUUUCAAAGUUCCAUUACUAGAUCAGGAGACAAAUUAUUCCUGAGGAUCCUCCUCAGGAUGCCAAGCCCAUGUAACCAGAGCAAUCUGGGGGACUUUCUGUUCUCUUUAUCUAUUGCUCAUCCCACAGAGCUAGAACAAAAACCUGGAAAUUUUUUUCACGUGUUCUCAGAAGACAAAGGUAGCACAGAAAGGAGAAAAAUACAAUGGUUAGUUGGUUCUUAAGAUGCAUUUGGGGAGUGGUGCUGCUGGACUUGUGUAGAUGCUGCACCUGAUUUGUAGGGCUGGGGAUCAGCUAGGAAAGUUUUUUGCUUUUACUCUUCUGGUCUGCCAGUAAUGGAGUGUGAACUGGCAUGAAAUGUCAUAAUCUCAGACUUUUGCACUCCAGUAUUUUACCAGAAAAUCGAUUGCUUUCUCAGAUGUAAGCAACUGGAGAGUGCUGAACAGAUUAGGGCCUGUUAGUAUUGGGCAGCCCUUUAAACAGAUAAGCAUUCAAAAGGGGUUUGUACAAUUGGAAACGAUGCAGCUGAUGACUGUCUGUGAAGAAUAUUUUUUCAUCUUCUCCUGUUCACAGAAAAAGCAGCGCAAGUAAUGGGGGCUUACAGCAUGUCAGAUCACAGCCAAGGGAAGAGUGUUGCUUAAAUUCAGAUCGAACUUUGCUCUUUCCACAAGGAAAUGGAGUUCUUACUGAAAUGCAAACUUUUGUGGGUGCUUUCUGCUUUCCACAAGAAAUGACAGUUCCAGAGGAAAGAAAAGUGCUUUUGACUUUUGGGGUUGGGUUUUAAAGAAGUCUCAAAUGUUUUUGUAAAAGCUGAAGGAUGCUUUGUUGUCUUACGCAGCAGAGUGGAAUUGCAAAGAGUAAAUGAAGAUUAUGCCUCAUAAAGUCCUGCUUCAGAAACUUCCAAACAAUUUGUUUCUCCUGAAAUUUUUUAUUUUUAUUUUUCCCCACUAUCACAAUUAGCUACUUGCUCAAGCACUGCUUUUAUGCAGUCAAGGAGGGACUUCCAGCUGCUGCUCUUGGUGUGUACAUGGGUUGUGUGACUGUGCCUGGGAAAAGAUACUUGGAAAAGAACAGUGAAGGAAAAAGCACUUUUAUUGUCCAUCUUAAGACGAGUUCCACCAACAAAACAGUGAAAUAGCCUAACAUAUGGAUUUAAGACAGGUUCAUGUCACAACUCUCUUGAGCCAUACGGCUGCUGGUUGCUGAUGCUCAGAGCCCCCAGAUGCCUGAUUGCUACAUCUGCACACAGAGCCUUAAAGGCAGGUCUGGAAAGAUGAGCAACCGCUCAGAAUCACCUGUGAGAAGCUCCACGGCUUCCCCAAAGUUGACAAAAACUAUUUGGAAGGAAUUUGCUGCACAGGGUUGCAGCUGGACUGACAGUGGAGUCGAGGUUCGGGGCCAAGCUGCAAGCAUUGAGCUGGUGCAGCAGGAUGGUGCUGUUGUGAGCUGAGCUGGCUCAGCAGUGGGAAGGAAAGAACCUGAAACAGAUUGUACCUACAGCAAGGCGGUGAUGUUGCGAUACGCCUCCCUGCUGAAGGCUGUGGAAAUCCUAUAUUUUAUUCACAUGAGAAAUUAGACUUUAAGUGGCCGAUGUAUAAGGCUGCGUGCAGAUUAAAUGUCUGCACACGGUAAAUAUGCGAGUACAAGCUACUGCCUUGUACCACUACAAUACCCUAUGCAUAAUGCAUAGCUUAUGAAUAAUUUGCACAAGGAUCUAUUCCCAAACUUAUGAUAUUACAUGAUUUUUUUCACUCUGAAAGGAAACAGAGGGAAAGUGUCAUCCUUCAGGAAUAAAGGGGACAGGCAGGAUCGGGAGCUGGAGAGCUGAGGCAGCCCUGUGAGGAAGCAGCUCUCGCGGCUGCAUGAGCAGUGUCUGCUGUUAAUGCUCUAGCAAUCCAGGAAGAAAAUGAAAGGCUGUCAGAUGGUUAAAAAUCAUUCCUUUUAUUACAGCAUUACUCACUGCCUUCGACUUUGUGAUAAAUUGUUUGGAAAGCUGAUUGUUUCAAUGGGUGUGGAUAUAAAACCAAAGAAAACACUGCCCUUGGAGGCAAGGAUAUAGUCCUUAAUUUCAGUUGGAAGCAAAUAAAUAGUAACUAUUUCUCUUCAGCCUUCUGAGUAUUUUUUGUGCUUCAAAAUCUCUGAAUGAUUACAUGGGUGAGGAAGCAAGGAAAAAGAAACCUGCUUAAGAUAAA